This 460-nucleotide ribosomal RNA is filed under the name uncultured bacterium. RNAcentral describes it as "partial 16S ribosomal RNA". It matches the Rfam family "Bacterial small subunit ribosomal RNA", at positions 338 to 795 of the family's 1533-position model. The record is from RNAcentral.
CCUACGGGCGGCAGCAGUGAGGAAUAUUGGUCAAUGGACGAGAGUCUGAACCAGCCAAGUAGCGUGAAGGAUGACUGCCCUAUGGGUUGUAAACUUCUUUUAUAUGGGAAUAAAAUGUUCCACGUGUGGGAUUUUGUAUGUACCUUAUGAAUAAGGAUCGGCUAACUCCGUGCCAGCAGCCGCGGUAAUACGGAGGAUCCGAGCGUUAUCCGGAUUUAUUGGGUUUAAAGGGAGCGUAGGUGGGUUGUUAAGUCAGUUGUGAAAGUUUGCGGCUCAACCGUAAAAUUGCAGUUGAAACUGGCAGGCUUGAGUACAGUAGAGGUAGGCGGAAUUCGUGGUGUAGCGGUGAAAUGCUUAGAUAUCACGAAGAACUCCGAUUGCGAAGGCAGCUCACUAGACUGCAACUGACACUGAGGCUCGAAAGUGUGGGUAUCAAACAGGAUUAGAUACCCGAGUAGUC